GAAAGUGGCGCACGGGUGCGUAACGCGUAUGCAACCUACCCUAUACAGGGGGAUAGCCCGGAGAAAUCUGGAUUAAUACCCCAUGGUACUAUGAUGAGGCAUUUUGUUAUAGUUAAAGAUUCAUCGGUAUAGGAUGGGCAUGCGUCUGAUUAGCUAGUUGGGGGUGUAACGGACCACCAAGGCGACGAUCAGUAGGGGUUCUGAGAGGAAGGUCCCCCACACUGGCACUGAGAUACGGGCCAGACUCCUACGGGAGGCAGCAGUAGGGAAUAUUGGGCAAUGGACGAGAGUCUGACCCAGCCAUGCCGCGUGCAGGAAGACGGCGUUCUGCGUUGUAAACUGCUUUUAUCUGGGAAGAAAAGGCCCAUGCGUGGGACAUUGCCGGUACCAGAUGAAUAAGCACCGGCUAACUCCGUGCCAGCAGCCGCGGUAAUACGGAGGGUGCAAGCGUUGUCCGGAUUUAUUGGGUUUAAAGGGUGCGUAGGCGGCUAUUUAAGUCAGUGGUGAAAGACUCCGGCUCAACCGGGGCAGUGCCAUUGAUACUGGAUAGCUUGAGUAUUGGAGGGGUACAUGGAAUUGAUGGUGUAGCGGUGAAAUGCAUAGAUACCAUCAGGAACACCGAUAGCGAAGGCAUUGUACUGGCCAAUAACUGACGCUGAUGCACGAAAGCAUGGGGAGCGAACAGGAUUAGAUACCCUGGUAGUCCAUGCCGUA
This 714-nucleotide ribosomal RNA is filed under the name Algoriphagus sp. BAL339. RNAcentral's name for it is "bacterial SSU rRNA". It matches the Rfam family "Bacterial small subunit ribosomal RNA", at positions 91 to 804 of the family's 1533-position model. Lineage: Bacteria; Pseudomonadati; Bacteroidota; Cytophagia; Cytophagales; Cyclobacteriaceae. The record is from RNAcentral.